CCCGACGGCUGCCUCGUAAUAGCAUUAUCUAAGAAGAAGACAAGAAAAAAAUUAAAUUUUUCUUACAUCGGUGCAGCACGGAGAAGACGCAGAAAUCAAUGAAAGACGAUCCUUUGCGUAGGCAAGAUGUAAAAGAUUGCUAGAGGAAGGGGAACAAAUAUCCUUUAAGCUCUCUCUCUCUCUCUUGUAGGGUAGAAUAGAUCGCUCUCCAAAGUUGAUUUAAUAACCCACUUAAGGUGGACUUAAAUAGGCUUUGAGAGAAAUUUAUUUCCCUUUCCUAGAAGGACCUAAUUUCCUAUUAAAGAGAGAAUCUACAUCAAAAUAGGAAGCAAUCCUACGUUUCCUAAAGCAAGAUGAUCUCUACACCUGCUGCCGUUUCCUACGAGCAGCCUAACAGGUGUGGGGGCAUUUGUGGAGCCAAAAAUAAUCAAAAGGCGACAUGUGGAUUUGGACAAAAGAGGGCAAAAAUACCCUUGAGGUACAACGGGAUUCCUACGCGCGAGCAACGGGCAAUCAUCGUUCAACCAAAUCAAAAGUGCCCAAAAUAGAUAACAAAUUCAAAGGUAUUUCAUCCAUCCUCAUCCUAUAUUUUCCACAAGGUAAUUAUUUCAUAACCUUCAAAACAUCCUAUAUAAAUUACAUAAACCCCAAAAUAUUUAUUCCAAAAAUGUGUUGAUUAACCAAUUAAUGGAUUAAUUUCCUAAUUAAUCCAUUAAAUCACACAUUAAACCAUAAGUUACACCCAUCCAUAUAAAUAGGCUCCUAUUUUCACCAGAAGAUCAUUCCAACACACUUGCAAAAUUCCCAAUACUCUCCAAAUACUUUUCUCUCUAAAUUCUAACUUUAGCAUUAGAGGUUGUUCGGUCAAAGCCCUCUCCCCCAUUCAUCGUGGGCGCGUGAGGCUCUUGGCCUUGACCCUAAGGUGUUAAUUGUUUUGUGGGUGCAAUUUUGUCCAAGAUCAAUGAGGAAGAAAUUUGCAUCCACAUUACUCGUUUUAAGGUUGUAAAAAAAUAUGCGAAUCUUACUUUUGUAAUGUGUAUUUGAAGCCAAUAAAGAUACGAGAUAGACGAGGGAGAGAGAGCAUUGAGGAGAGAGGAGAGGGAUUUUUUUUAAUUAAUUAAUUAAUUUUAUUCCAACUGGCGAAGGAUUUGAUCUUGCUCCUGCCACAUUAUCAUUUAACAAUCAAAUUGAUAGAAAAAUUAACGAGGGUCUUACAUUGAAACAAAUUCAUAAGUGGAGGUAUGAUAUUGCAAUAUUUAAAACAUGAGGUAUGAGAUUAUGGUUCAAUCCAUAAUUGAGGUAAUUUUAUGUAAUUUACCCAAAUUUUAAACAGUACCUUUUCAAGAUCAAAUGAUCUAGGCCAUUGAAAUUUGAUCCAACGGCUACAAUUAUUAUGAUCUAGUGCAAGUGGGAGAUUGUUGGAAAUGUGCCCUAAAACCAAUCAUAUGAUGAUACUUUACGGACAUUUCACAUGUUAAACUAAUCUAGUUUAAUAUCAAGGGAAAAGGUUAUUGUUUGAGCCGUCUCAUAUAAAUGUUAUACGCUUAAACGAUAAGUCCAAGGAAUAUGUGAUUGGGAGAAUGCGAUCUAAAGAAGUUAGAUUCAUGAGACCAUUAUUUCGUAGACACAUCCUAAACGUUCCUGAUCAUAGGAUUGCCAAUUGGGCAUUGACAGUCCGUUAAGAUCAGUACGUACUGUGUCUUCUCUCAGGG
This 1712-nucleotide long non-coding RNA is filed under the name Malus domestica (apple). RNAcentral's name for it is "long non-coding RNA (MDOM_LNC015599)". The record is from RNAcentral. Lineage: Eukaryota; Viridiplantae; Streptophyta; Magnoliopsida; Rosales; Rosaceae.